This 301-nucleotide ribosomal RNA is filed under the name uncultured bacterium. RNAcentral's name for it is "partial 16S ribosomal RNA". It matches the Rfam family "Bacterial small subunit ribosomal RNA", at positions 509 to 809 of the family's 1533-position model. The record is from RNAcentral.
CAGCAGCCGCGGGAAUACGUAGGGUGCAAGCGUUAAUCGGAAUUACUGGGCGUAAAGCGUGCGCAGGCGGUUAUAUAAGACAGAUGUGAAAUCCCCUGGCUCAACCUGGGAACUGCAUUUGUGACUGUAUAGCUAGAGUACGGCAGAGGGGGAUGGAAUUCCGCGUGUAGCAGUGAAAUGCGUAGAUAUGCGGAGGAACACCGAUGGCGAAGGCAAUCCCCUGGGCCUGUACUGACGCUCAUGCACGAAAGCGUGGGGAGCAAACAGGAUUAGAUACCCGGGUAGUCCCUGUCUCUUAUAA